AUGCUAGAGAAUAGUUCUGGUUCUUGCAUCUCACCAAGAGAAUAUUAUUGUUUCAAGCUGCAAAUUAGACCUGGGAAGUUUAACAUCUUACUCUUUGGAAGGCGAUUGACUCAACAAUAUAUAGUUGAUAUGUACAUUAAGAUUGAAUCAAUAAGAUUGGCAUUCUUGUCAAAGCCAUCAACUCAGGUUCUCAUCAGAGCAGAUUUGUAUCAAGGAUUGGUCGAUAGCAUUGUUGCCGGUGAAACACGUGGGUGCAUGACAGGUAGGCGCAUUGUG
This 276-nucleotide ribosomal RNA is filed under the name Triticum aestivum (bread wheat). Its description in RNAcentral is "partial small subunit ribosomal RNA". Lineage: Eukaryota; Viridiplantae; Streptophyta; Magnoliopsida; Poales; Poaceae. The record is from RNAcentral.